UACGUAAGGGGCAAGCGUUAUCCGGAUUUACUGGGUGUAAAGGGAGCGUAGACGGCAUGGUAAGUCUGAUGUGAAAUCCCAGGGCUCAACCCUGGGCAUGCAUUGGAAACUAUCAAGCUAGAGUGCAGGAGAGGUAAGUGGAAUUCCUAGUGUAGCGGUGAAAUGCGUAGAUAUUAGGAGGAACACCAGUGGCGAAGGCGGCUUACUGGACUGUAACUGACGUUGAGGCUCGAAAGCGUGGGGAGCAAAC
RNAcentral lists this ribosomal RNA (250 nucleotides) under uncultured bacterium. Its description in RNAcentral is "partial 16S ribosomal RNA". It matches the Rfam family "Bacterial small subunit ribosomal RNA", at positions 524 to 773 of the family's 1533-position model. The record is from RNAcentral.